This 331-nucleotide ribosomal RNA is filed under the name uncultured eukaryote. RNAcentral's name for it is "partial 18S ribosomal RNA". It matches the Rfam family "Eukaryotic small subunit ribosomal RNA", at positions 1470 to 1796 of the family's 1831-position model. The record is from RNAcentral.
CCCUUAGAUGUUCUGGGCCGCACGCGCGCUACACUGACGAAGUCAGCGAGCAUGUCCUACGCCGACAGGUGCGGGGAAUCUUGUCAAACUUCGUCGUGAUGGGGAUUGAUUAUUGAAAUUCUUGAUCAUCAACGAGGAAUUCCUAGUAAGCGCAAGUCAGCAGCUUGCGUUGAUUACGUCCCUGCCCUUUGUACACACCGCCCGUCGCUACUACCGAUUGAAUGGUUUAGUGAGAUCUUCGGAUUGGCGCCACCGCGGCUCAGCAAUGGGCUCGGUGGAUGCCGAAAAGUUGAUCAAACUUGAUCAUUUAGAGGAAGUAAAAGUCGUAACA